Molecule: ribosomal RNA, 430 nt
Filed under: uncultured delta proteobacterium
Lineage: Bacteria; Deltaproteobacteria
Description: bacterial SSU rRNA
Rfam family: Bacterial small subunit ribosomal RNA
Source: RNAcentral
UGGGGAAUAUUGCGCAAUGGGGGAAACCCUGACGCAGCAACGCCGUGUGAGCGAUGAAGGCCUUCGGGUUGUAAAGCUCUGUUAAAUAAGAAGAAACUCCCAUAUUCUAAUACAAUAUGGGAUUGACGGUAUUAUUAGAGAAAGCACCGGCUAACUCCGUGCCAGCAGCCGCGGUAAGACGGGGGGUGCAAGCGUUGUUCGGAAUUACUGGGCGUAAAGGGCGUGUAGGCGGUCUAAUAAGUUAGGUGUGAAAUCUUCAGGCUCAACCUGAAAAGUGCACUUAAAACUGUUAAACUAGAGAGUGGUAGGGGAAAGCGGAAUUCCUAGUGUAGAGGUGAAAUUCGUAGAUAUUAGGAAGAACACCGGCGGCGAAGGCGGCUUUCUGGACCAUUUCUGACGCUGAGACGCGAAAGCGUGGGGAGCAAACAGG